GACGAACGCUGGCGGCGUGCCUAAUACAUGCAAGUAGAACGCUGAAGAGAGGAGCUUGCUCUUCUUGGAUGAGUUGCGAACGGGUGAGUAACGCGUAGGUAACCUGCCUUGUAGCGGGGGAUAACUAUUGGAAACGAUAGCUAAUACCGCAUAACAAUGGAUGACCCAUGUCAUUUAUUUGAAAGGGGCAAAUGCUCCACUACAAGAUGGACCUGCGUUGUAUUAGCUAGUAGGUGAGGUAACGGCUCACCUAGGCGACGGUACAUAGCCGACCUGAGAGGGUGAUCGGCCACACGGGGCAUGAGACACGGCCCAGACUCCUACGGGAGGCAGCAGUAGGGAAUCUUCGGCAAUGGGGGCAACGCUGACCGAGCAACGCCGCGUGAGUGAAGAAGGUUUUCGGAUCGUAAAGCUCUGUUGUAAGUCAAGAACGAGGGUGAGAGUGGAAAGUUCACACUGUGACGGUAGCUUAACAGAAAGGGACGGCUAACUACGUG
RNAcentral lists this ribosomal RNA (497 nucleotides) under uncultured bacterium. RNAcentral describes it as "partial 16S ribosomal RNA". It matches the Rfam family "Bacterial small subunit ribosomal RNA", at positions 28 to 507 of the family's 1533-position model. The record is from RNAcentral.